RNAcentral lists this long non-coding RNA (925 nucleotides) under Homo sapiens (human). RNAcentral's name for it is "long non-coding RNA NONHSAT168462.1". The record is from RNAcentral. Lineage: Eukaryota; Metazoa; Chordata; Mammalia; Primates; Hominidae.
CCUCCUCGCCAGCAGCCGUCCGGAGCCAGCCAACGAGCGGUGAGCUGCGCGGGCUCCAUGAUGCGUUAUCUGGGUCUGGAAACCCAAACCCUCAAGGAUGGCCUGGCGCAUGGGGGAACCAGCCUGCUGGGGCAGGGGGCUACCCAGGGGCUUCCUAUCCUGGGGCCUACCCCGGGCAGGCACCCCCAGGGGCUUAUCCUGGACAGGCACCUCCAGGCGCCUACCCUGGAGCACCUGGAGCUUAUCCCGGAGCACCUGCACCUGGAGUCUACCCAGGGCCACCCAGCGGCCCUGGGGCCUACCCAUCUUCUGGACAGCCAAGUGCCACCGGAGCCUACCCUGCCACUGGCCCCUAUGGCGCCCCUGCUGGGCCACUGAUUGUGCCUUAUAACCUGCCUUUGCCUGGGGGAGUGGUGCCUCGCAUGCUGAUAACAAUUCUGGGCACGGUGAAGCCCAAUGCAAACAGAAUUGCUUUAGAUUUCCAAAGAGGGAAUGAUGUUGCCUUCCACUUUAACCCACGCUUCAAUGAGAACAACAGGAGAGUCAUUGUUUGCAAUACAAAGCUGGAUAAUAACUGGGGAAGGGAAGAAAGACAGUCGGUUUUCCCAUUUGAAAGUGGGAAACCAUUCAAAAUACAAGUACUGGUUGAACCUGACCACUUCAAGGUUGCAGUGAAUGAUGCUCACUUGUUGCAGUACAAUCAUCGGGUUAAAAAACUCAAUGAAAUCAGCAAACUGGGAAUUUCUGGUGACAUAGACCUCACCAGUGCUUCAUAUACCAUGAUAUAAUCUGAAAGGGGCAGAUUAAAAAAAAAAAAAGAAUCUAAACCUUACAUGUGUAAAGGUUUCAUGUUCACUGUGAGUGAAAAUUUUUACAUUCAUCAAUAUCCCUCUUGUAAGUCAUCUACUUAAUAAAUAUUACAGUG